This 72-nucleotide transfer RNA is filed under the name Minisyncoccota bacterium. RNAcentral's name for it is "tRNA-Arg". It matches the Rfam family "tRNA". From Rfam's summary of the family: Transfer RNA (tRNA) molecules are approximately 80 nucleotides in length. Their secondary structure includes four short double-helical elements and three loops (D, anti-codon, and T loops). Further hydrogen bonds mediate the characteristic L-shaped molecular structure. tRNAs have two regions of fundamental functional importance: the anti-codon, which is responsible for specific mRNA codon recognition, and the 3' end, to which the tRNAs corresponding amino acid is attached (by aminoacyl-tRNA synthetases). tRNAs cope with the degeneracy of the genetic code in two manners: having more than one tRNA (with a specific anti-codon) for a particular amino acid; and 'wobble' base-pairing, i.e. permitting non-standard base-pairing at the 3rd anti-codon position. Lineage: Bacteria; Bacillati; Minisyncoccota. The record is from RNAcentral.
GCACCUGUGGUGAAAUGGAUAUCAUUACUGACUUCGGAUCAGUCGUUCCAGGUUCGAGUCCUGGCAGGUGCA